UCCUUCCCAUUUCCCAAGUUCUGUGUGUUCCCAAAAUGCAAUUUUCCCUGUCUUCAUAUGAGAAGGAAGCCACCAUGAAGUCUUCAAAUGGAGAAGCCAUUAAACAGGGAGAGGGAUGGCAAAGAAGGCAGCCAGAUGGUACAUUUCUCCUGGAUGGCCAUAUGUCAUGGGUGCUUUGAGUUUGUUUUUCCUGCGUGGCACAGGGAUUGGACUGGAUGCUCCAUGUUUAUUUACAAAUGGCUGUUAUAGUGAAGUUCCAUGGGUCUGAACAAAUGUCUGUUGUCACUAAUGUACUGGGCCAACAAGUUGAAACUUAAUCCAGGGAAGACAGAGGUGCUCCUGGUCAGUUGAAAGGCACAAUUAAAAGUGAUGGACAUGACCCAUAAAGCCCUAUAACACUUAGGUCCAGUUGAUUUGAAAGACUGAAUCUCCCUGUAUAAAACCAUUCUUAGAUCGUCUUAUCGGCACCACAGAUCUGUUUGGUGAGGACACAGGAGGGAGCCUUUUCAGUGGUAAACUCCCUUCCAUGGGAGCUAGGUUGGCCCCUUCCCAGCUCUCCUUUUGCUGGAAACUGUUUUGCUCAAGCACGCUUUUAAUAUCUAAGUGUUUGCAGGUAGUAAAUACUCUAAAGCAGUGAUUGU
Long non-coding RNA from Anolis carolinensis (green anole), 641 nucleotides. RefSeq lists it as uncharacterized. NCBI's taxonomy places the organism in Eukaryota, Metazoa, Chordata, Lepidosauria, Squamata, Anolidae. The transcript is spliced from 3 exons. The record is from RefSeq and is a predicted model, not a curated record.